ACUAUAAUUCUCAAGAACCUUUAUCAUUUUAUGUUUUAGUCUGACUUGGUUGAAUACGUUUUCUUCCUUUACUUGAGAAACGAGAGUAGAGAAGGGAGAAUAUCAAGAGGGAGAACUCAGAACAUAUUGUAGCCUGAGCUAACUAAAUAUAGCAAGUCUUAUCUUAUUAGGUGAGGUCAAUUACACGAAUUGCACAAUACCAUUGAGCUAACUAAAUAUCACCUGUAAUUGACAAAUUUUAAAUGGCAGUUACUGAUACAUGGGAUUUAGAAAUAGUAAGGGUAAUUAGGGAAAUUAGGGGGUAAAAGUGUAGUUUGGGAAUAUAGUAAAUAUCUCUAUAAAUAGGGUCCUAAUGAUGUAAUGCGGGUCUAUUGAAUAAUGUUCUUCUUUUAUUCUCUUUUCUCCUUCCGCUUGUAACAGUUACGAAACAUUUAUGAUGAUGUUUAAUUUAGAAAUGAUCUUUAUGUUUAUCUUUAAACUUAUGAUAGAGGUGUUAUAAAUGAUUUACCAGGCUCUUGGCUUGUAUGGUUUUGAAUUUGUCUGAGUGUUUGGCCUUCACUGACCAUGUUUAUUCAACAAGAGGACAAUAGGAUACAAAAUGGCAUGAUGCCAUGAAUUGUUUAGUCAGGAAUAAAUUUGUUAGAUUAUCAUCAUGAUAACAAAAUACCGGAGGACUGAGAAUUUGUGAGACAUGCACGUCAAGCUAUAAAAAUAUCACUAAUCAAUUUAGAAUGAAUUUUUGAAUUGCACACUAGUUGUACAGAUUAUGGCAGGUGAAUAAUAAUAUCUAACAGAGAAGGAAAUUGUUUUCAAGACGAAAAUAAAAAUCAACAAUAGAUUAAAAUUUUCCCGUCUUGAUUUCGUCUGAUUCAGCAUCAAACUGAGUGAUUGAUGCUUGAGCUUCCAGUAUUUGAAGAAAUGAAAGUUAUAUCUUUCCUCUUCUUUUUUCUGAACCAACUUACAUUAUUGAUGCUUCUUCUUGUUUUUUUUUUUUUUGGGGUGGGUUAACCUAGCUCUACAAAGCUCAGAGAAACGUCAUACUGUGUGCUUCAGCAUGUCUUCUAUACUGGUCUAUCUACCGGAUCUGUAAGUAUCAGAAGGAUGUCCAAAGUCUGGAGGAAGUGGAGAAGAGAUACAAGGAUCAGUAGCAUUCUCGUUGUGCUAAUUGAGGACUCGAGUCUCCUGCUAUAGUAUAGAGAGACUCUACGGAUAUGAAACCGUAAUUCACUAAAUCGUCCAUAAUUUUAAAUUUCCAAUCAUUUUGUGCUGGCUGAACUCAUAAUUAAACGUUUCACAGAUUCUAUGUAGUUAAAUUAUUCUCCCUUUUCUGUUGAGAUCA
Long non-coding RNA from Prosopis cineraria, 1339 nucleotides. RefSeq lists it as uncharacterized. Lineage: Eukaryota; Viridiplantae; Streptophyta; Magnoliopsida; Fabales; Fabaceae. The record is from RefSeq and is a predicted model, not a curated record. The transcript has 2 exons.